RNAcentral lists this ribosomal RNA (478 nucleotides) under uncultured bacterium. RNAcentral describes it as "partial 16S ribosomal RNA". It matches the Rfam family "Bacterial small subunit ribosomal RNA", at positions 28 to 507 of the family's 1533-position model. The record is from RNAcentral.
GAUGAACGCUAGCGGCAGGCCUAACACAUGCAAGUCGAGGGAGAAGCCCUUUCGGGGGCAGAAACCGGCGCACGGGUGCGUAACGCGUAUGCAACCUACCUUUCACAGGGGGAUAGCCCGAAGAAAUUUGGAUUAAUACCCCAUAAUAUUAUUGGAUGGCAUCAUUUGAUAAUUAAAACUGCGGUGGUGAAAGAUGGGCAUGCGUCCUAUUAGCUAGUUGGAGUGGUAACGGCACCCCAAGGCUACGAUAGGUAGGGGUCCUGAGAGGGAGAUCCCCCACACUGGUACUGAGACAGGGACCAGACUCCUACGGGAGGCAGCAGUGAGGAAUAUUGGUCAAUGGUCGGAAGACUGAACCAGCCAUGCCGCGUGCAGGAAGAAUGCCUUAUGGGUUGUAAACUGCUUUUAAAUGGGAAGAAUAAGGCGUACGUGUACGUUGAUGACGGUACCAUAUGAAUAAGCAUCGGCUAACUCCGUG